Molecule: long non-coding RNA, 3414 nt
Organism: Brassica rapa (field mustard)
Lineage: Eukaryota; Viridiplantae; Streptophyta; Magnoliopsida; Brassicales; Brassicaceae
Source: RefSeq, a predicted model, not a curated record
AAAAAAUAAUCUUUAAUUAAAGGUUUUUUUCUUUUUUUCUUCCUUGGUUUUCACCCUCUUCUCCUAAAGGAUGCCUUAAGAGACUUCCAAUAAUGUUGCCCUAAAGAAAAAAAUACUGAAAAUAUAAGGAGACAUUAAGCCGUCCACAUUAGUUGCUUUAUAACAAAUUUUUAUUCUUUUAAUAAUUUGAUAAAUGUCAAAUAAGUUUCUCAAAUGAAAGAGUUUUCACUUUUUGUUGUUUAUAUAUGAAAAAAAAAGUUUAAUUUUUUUUUAUUGACGUUGCAUUUACUGAUAGGUAUGAUCGAAGUCGGUAGCGCCUAGUUCAGUCAGCAGUAGAACGGAGAACAUGGACAAUAGAAGAAGAAAUGAAGAUCCUGCUGUUACGCUCCUUCAAAAAGAGAUAGAUUCUUCUAGGUUUAUCACCUAGAAGAGAAGCUUUGCAUUUACGCCUUUGUCGCGGCAUCAAUUGAGAUGAAGGCAGUAAGAGAAUGUCGGUACAAUAGUGAUAAAGACCAAGAGGUGUAGUAAAACAUUUACACAGAGAUGAUUUUUUCCGAGUAAUUAAUCAAUAUGGCUCGGACUCGGUACUGAAAAGAAUAGUCACAAGAUUCUUCAAGAUUUCUCAAGUACUAUGGCUUAAAUAUUAAAUCAUGAAAGUGAAACAUCAAGAAAUUUAAUGUCUAUUAUCCUUGACGUCAAACGUGAUAAGGUCGGUAGGUAAUGUGGCGAUAUCAUUGAUAUGACCUCUCCAGCAAUAGAUUGUUGAACAUAUUUUCUUGGACUUGGAAUUGCAUUUGAUUACUUCAGAAAAAUAUAGAAAUAAAUUCCAAAGCACUAUCUUUAUAUAUAAAAGAAGCUUUGUCUCUCUCCCGUGAAGUCACGUCGGAUGACAGGGUGGAAAUAGGAGCUCUAUGGUGUAGACACGUCGGAUCCUCACCGUUUCAUUAAACCUUCGCAGUGGGCUUCGUUACACGCUUCUUCUGCGGCCCAUAACCCCACAAGUAUGUACGGAACCCUAAUCAAUCGAUACAUUCUCCUUCGUGUUCUUCGUUCGUCUUCGAUCGUCAGAUUCUGUAACGGUGUUUUGUGGUUUAAUCGUCUUUAUUCGUCAUCCCACUACGAAUCUACCUCUUGCCUGUUCGUCUGCUAGAUCGUGAAUAAAUACGCAGCAAUCUAACCGACGCGAAUCGCUCUAUCUACACUUUUGUAAUCUCACACCUCACUCAUUCUCAAAUCUUACCCCUCACCUCUCUCAAUGGUUAUGACAAAGGUUUUUUUUCCGAUCUCAAGGCUGGGCGGUGCUCAUUCGUUGUGGAGGCGAGACUGCUUCGAUUCUGGGAGGCUAAGAACGUUAAGCGUGGUGGAGAGCUGAUGUGGAUGGAUCUGCUCAUGGUCGAUGUUAACGUGAGUUAUUCAUUCUGAUUUCUUUUGUAUAUCAGUCGUUAUGAGUUAUUUUUUAUUCAUCAUAUUGUUCUUAUUUUUAUGAGCUCUAGGCUGUUUAUGCUUCUUGGUAUUGUUUCCUGUAGACCUAAACACGUUUAUCUAAUCUUUUUUUUUUUAAUUUUAAUUUUCCCUUUUCUUCUUUGUUAUAUGUGAGCCAUAUCGUGAUUAUUAAUAUUGAUUUGGUAUGGCAUUGAUCCUGUUGUUUAGCAUAGGUUUUGGUUUCCUGUUAAAAGAUAGUACUGAUAAUCCGUUUGAAUUCACACCGUUUGUUAGAACUGAUAGAUUCUUAACUGCGUUUCACAUGGGCUCGACGGAUGAUCUAGGUUAAAGCUAUGUCACAUCAGGGAAGCACGGUGUAAGCUUUUCACUAACCUUUCUUCGUAUGAUUGUGUUCUAAUUUGAUUGUUCUAUGGUUAUGAGUUUUAGUCGAGUUCAUCUUUUAUAGGAGUCUCCAUAGCCGUUUCCUCUGCUUCCAGAGAUUUGUGUACAGAAAGCUGAAGCUGGAUGGGCUCAUUAUGUGGCAGUAACAGAGAGCCAUGAAGUUUAUACGUGGGGAUGGAAGGAAUGUAUACCCACAGGAAGAGUGUUUGGACAAGUAGAAGGAUAUUCGUGUGAAAUGAACAUCUCCUUCUCUGCAGAGCAAGUGUUAAGAGAGAGAAAGUGAUGAAGACAAAUCGUGAUACCACUAUGAACAGUUCAAAAGUGAUCGUUCAGGUUCACUGACUCGGUAGAGACAACAAGUGAAAAUUUUGGAGAUGAUGACCACAUCUCUCGCGGCGGCGCGAGAUGCAGCGGAGGUUCCGGUUUGGUUAAGGCAUGUGCUUCUUCCUAGGCUGGAGAGAGGUGAUGAAUCAGAAUAUGAACAGCCAAUUGUCACCUGACUUUGUAGGUAUUACAAUUUUCCAAUAUCUGUGAUUGUAUUAUAAUUUUUCUGGAUUCGUAGUUCACUAAACAACUUACUGUUGCUGGCUUUGUGGUACUAGCGCUUUGUCAAUGCUCUUGAUGAAUAAUCUAAUGCUACCCUUCCAGAUCUAAAACAGAAGGCUUUUAAGGUGUAUAUUUACCACUCUGCAUCUCUAGCCUCUUAAAGGCACUGGUUUUAUGAGUUUCUUAUAGUUAUAAACAUUUGAUUGGUAGCAAUUAGAUACCGUUAUUUGAAUGAUGCAUGAUUUCAUAUUAGAUGUCUCAGUUAUCUAAUAGCUACGAUUUGUUUUAUUUUUUGGUUAACAAGAACAUGAUCUUAGUAUUUGUUGUUGUUUUUAUUUGGUGUUAGACAAGCAAAUCAUAACAGUGGAUGAUUGAAGCAACUUGACACGAACAGGUAAGUAAUCAACGUUGAUAACCACAACAAUUGUUCUUUCUUUAUGAUAUUGAUGGUUCUUUCUUUUAUCAGUGGUCCAGGAAGCUCCACUAUUCUAUUAGACCAUCGUCUAUACACAAUGGUGAAGACUAAAGGGUUUAGCUUGGAUUUGUGUGGCUGUAAGUCCUUAUUUGUUCAAAGCGCAAACACAACUCACAUGUUUGAGCCUGAUACUAAUUUGGCUGUCGUCUUUACUUCUCUCUCAGGUUCAUUGGUUAAUGAAGCUAAAAGGAAUCUUUUUGGUAGUAGUUUUGAUGUCUCAGACUCGGGUUUGACCUUUGAGAUGAAUGCUCCUUCUCAAAGGACUCGAGUAGGAAGAGCAGUAAAACCAACUCAGAAGUUCCAAGAAAUGUAAUGGACCAUGGUUAGAUGGACCCCUGGUGAGAAAGCUCCUUACCACCUUUAUAGGAAAUUCUACAUAAUUCUCAUAUAUUUGUUAUCUAGCAAUUGUAAACUUUGGGUUCUUUCAAAUUUAAUACAUCUGGUUCUUCGUUUCCUCUUUUCAUAAUUCUUUUUGUUUGUUGUAUAUAGUUGAGUUUUCUUUCUUUUCAUUAGACCACAUAAUCAAGUAAAGCACCACGAAUAAAAACACCAUCUUUAUUUUUUUUGUA